UACGGAAGGCAGCAGUGGGGAAUAUUGCACAAUGGGCGCAAGCCUGAUGCAGCCAUGCCGCGUGUAUGAAGAAGGCCUUCGGGUUGUAAAGUACUUUCAGUCGUGAGGAAGGUGUUAAGGUUAAUAACCUUAGCAAUUGACGUUAGCGACAGAAGAAGCACCGGCUAACUCCGUGCCAGCAGCCGCGGUAAUACGGAGGGUGCGAGCGUUAAUCGGAAUUACUGGGCGUAAAGGGCACGCAGGCGGUUAAUUAAGUUGGAUGUGAAAUCCCCGGGCUUAACCUGGGAAUGGCAUUCAAGACUGGUUAGCUAGAGUCUUGUAGAGGGGGUAGAAUUCCAUGUGUAGCGGUGAAAUGCGUAGAGAUGUGGAGGAAUACCGGUGGGCGAAGGCGGCCCCUGGGACAAAGGACUGACGCUCAUGUGCGAAAGCGUGGGGAGCAAAC
This 442-nucleotide ribosomal RNA is filed under the name uncultured bacterium. RNAcentral describes it as "bacterial SSU rRNA". It matches the Rfam family "Bacterial small subunit ribosomal RNA", at positions 340 to 773 of the family's 1533-position model. The record is from RNAcentral.